Molecule: long non-coding RNA, 2147 nt
Filed under: Homo sapiens (human)
Lineage: Eukaryota; Metazoa; Chordata; Mammalia; Primates; Hominidae
Description: HSALNT0341511
Source: RNAcentral
GCCGCCCCUACUGGGAAGUGAGGAGCCCCUCUGCCCGGCCACCACCCCGUCUGGGAGGUGUGCCCAACAGCUCAUUGAGAACGGGCCAGGAUGACAAUGGAGGCUUUGUGGAAUAGAAAGGCGGGAAAGGUGGGGAAAAGAUUGAGAAAUCGGAUGGUUGCCGUGUCUGUGUAGAAAGAAGUAGACAUGGGAGACUUUUCAUUUUGUUCUGCACUAGGAAAGGUUCCUCUGCCUUGGGAUCCUGUUGAUCUGUGACCUUACCCCCAACCCUGUGCUCUCUGAAACAUGUGCUGUGUCCACUCAGGGUUAAAUGGAUUAAGGGCGGUGCAAGAUGUGCUUUGUUAAACAGAUGCUUGAAGGCAGCAUGCUCGUUAAGAGUCAUCACCAAUCCCUAAUCUCAAGCAAUCAGGGACACAAACACUGCGGAAGCCCGCAGGGUCCUCUGCCUAGGAAAACCAGAGACCUUUGUUCACUUGUUUAUCUGCUGACCUUCCCUCCACUAUUGUCCCAUGACCCUGCCAAAUCCCCCUCUGAGAAACACCCAAGAAUUAUCAAUAAAAAAAAAUAAAUUAAAAAAAUAAAUAAAUAAAAAUAAAAAUAGGAAAAAAAAAAAGAAAAAGCAGCUGGGCGCGGUGGCUCACGCCUGUAAUCCCAGCACUUUGGGAGGCCAAGGUGGGCGGAUCACCUGAUGUCAGGAGUUCGAGACCAGCCUGACCAACAUGGAGAAACCUCGUCUCUACUAAAAACACAAAAAAUUAGCCGGGCGUGGUGGCGCAUGCCUGUAAUCCCAGCUACUCGGGAGGCUGAGGCAGGAGAAUCGCUUGAACCUAGGAGGCAGAGGUUGCAGUGAGCUGAGAUCGCACCACUGCACCCCAGCCUGGGCAAUAAGAGUGAAACUCCAUCUCAAAAAAAAAAAAAAAAAAAAAAAGGUACAUGAAACAUAUGAAGCAAAAAGUGAAAGUCCCCAUUCUUUUCCUUUUUCCAGAGGUGAUUUUUGUGGCCAAUCUGGUUUCAUUCCCUCCCAGACACUUUUCUAGGCAUCUAUGUGCCUCUAUUCACAUAUAAACAAAAUAGGAGUUUUCCUGUGCUUCCCUUAAAUGGCAUAUGUAUCUUUCACUCUUUUUUUUCACCUAGUGGAUCUUUAAUACCUUAAAAGCUCAACCUGGGCUUGGUGCGGUGGCUCAUACCUGUAAUCCCAGGCCUUUGGGAGGCCAAGGUGGGAGGAUCACUUGAGCUCAGGAGUUCCAGACCAUUCCAAAGCAAAAACAAAAGGAUUUUGAGAUCAGUGUGGGCAACUUAGCAAAACACCAUCUCUAAAAAAAAAAAAAAAAAAAAAUUAGCCAAGCUUGGUGGUGUAAGCCUGUAGUCCCAGCUACUUGAGAGGCUGAGGUGGGAGGAUUGUUUGAACCCAGGAGGUUGAGGCUACAGUGAGCUGUGAUUGUGCCACUGCACUCCAGGUUGGGUAAUGCAGCGAGACUGCGUCUCAAAAAAUAAAUAAAAUAAAAAAUAAAUAAAAGCUCCACCUGUCUUCCUUUUAGAUGUUGCAUAGCAUUUCACACAGUAUUGAUGUAUUACAGCUCAACUAAAUUAAUCCCAGUAUCUAGCACGUGGGGUGGUGGGAAGGAUUAAGGGAGAUAAUAUAAGCCAAGUGCCCAGAACAAGGGCUUGGCACACCAGGCUCGCCUUGAACAAUUUGUUUUUUUGUUGUUUUGUGUGUGUGUGGUUUUUUUUUUUUGAGACAGCGUCUCAUUGCAUCACCGAGGUUGUAGUGCAGUGGUGCAAUCGUAGCUCACUACUGUCUCAGACACCUGGGAUCAAGCGAUCCUCCCACCUCAGCCUCCGGAGUAGCUGGGACUACACAUGCAUCACCACACCCCACUAAUUUUUAAAUUUUUUGUAGAGACAGAGUCUCAUUAUGUUGCCUAGGCUGGUCUCAAACUCCUGGCCUCAAUUAAUCCUCCUCCCUUGGCCUCCCAAAGUGCUGGGAUUACAGGGAUGAGCCACUGUACCUGGCAGCCUUGAGUGAUUUCUCACCUCCUCAUUGGCCCAGUUUCCUUAUCUGUAAAUGAGAGUAGCUGUAAAAUAUGGUUAAUGUGAGGACCAAACAGGUCAAUUAGGGAAAAGCAGUGUCUCUGCCAGCACCUGAC